Molecule: ribosomal RNA, 305 nt
Filed under: uncultured bacterium
Lineage: Bacteria
Description: bacterial SSU rRNA
Rfam family: Bacterial small subunit ribosomal RNA
Source: RNAcentral
GGCCUACGGGGCGCAGCAGUGGGGAAUAUUGCACAAUGGGGGAAACCCUGAUGCAGCAACGCCGCGUGAGUGAAGAAGUAUUUCGGUAUGUAAAGCUCUAUCAGCAGGGAAGAAAAUGACGGUACCUGAGUAAGAAGCCCCGGCUAACUACGCGCCAGCAGCCGCGGUAAUACGUAGGGGGCAAGCGUUAUCCGGAUUUACUGGGUGUAAAGGGAGCGUAGACGGCGAUGCAAGUCUGAAGUGAAAGCCCGGGGCUCAACCCCGGGACUGCAUUUGGAACUGUAAGGCUAGAGGGUCGGAGAGGG